RNAcentral lists this ribosomal RNA (230 nucleotides) under uncultured bacterium. RNAcentral's name for it is "partial 16S ribosomal RNA". It matches the Rfam family "Bacterial small subunit ribosomal RNA", at positions 118 to 351 of the family's 1533-position model. The record is from RNAcentral.
UAGGAAUUUGCCUUAAGGCGGGGGAUAACCCGGGGAAACUCGGGCUAAUACCGCAUAAACUCCACGGAGAAAAGGAUGGGACCGUAAGGCCAUUCACCUUAAGAGAAGCCUGCGUAAGAUUAGCUAGUUGGUGGGGUAAAGGCCUACCAAGGCGACGAUCUUUAGCUGGUCUGAGAGGACGAACAGCCACACUGGGACUGAGACACGGCCCAGACUCCUACGGGAGGCAG